This is an RNA transcript of Oreochromis niloticus (Nile tilapia), 2796 nucleotides long. It is a transcript of the gene named cystatin-B-like, with no coding region annotated. The transcript has 3 exons. Lineage: Eukaryota; Metazoa; Chordata; Actinopteri; Cichliformes; Cichlidae. The record is from RefSeq and is a predicted model, not a curated record.
AUAAUCGGCUCAGUCAUUUUUAAUGAUCGUUGAAAACCCAGAUCGUAAUCGAGAUUAAAAUUCGAUUAAUUGAGCAGCCCUACCACUAUGCAUCAGAGGGUUAAUUACAUCAAUGUGAAUUUUGUGGUUUGUUUUGUUCGACAAAGUAUCGAGUCAGGUGUUGUACUUGGUUUUUCAUAGGACAGCACAGAGUUCUGUGAAAAGUUUCUUUCUCACAUGAGCUAGAGCUAAAGCAAAAAACUUCAGGCCCAUAAAUGUUUUAAAAAGUGAAUAAAUAAUAUUAUACAAUAGUCAGGAUGAACUGUAGCACAUAAACAUUUGAUGAUAGACUAUAAAUAUUUGACUUUUAUUUGACGUGUAUUAUGUUUAUCCUAUAGACCAGAAACACUUCAUCAUUUGAAUGACAAACUAAGGAAAAAUAAGAAAGAAGUACUGUGUCAGACUAAAAGAGUUGACUUUAGACUUAACUUGCUGUCGUCUGAUCUUCAAGCUUACUGUAUACCCAUAAGGGUGGUAUUUAUGUUUUUAAUUACAUUUUUGAAAAAACAAAAAGGAAAACAAAAAUAAAUAAAUUUCCCUUAAUGAUAUAAGCAGUAAAUGACACUAUAAAUUUAACUGAUCUUACUUACUGGAUAUUGUAUGUUUCUGUCAUGAGUCAUACUCUGAGUGCGUGCACCGUGACGGCUUCACUCCGUCAGUUAUUAAGAGUGCAAGCCUGGGAAUGCUGGGCACCCCGUGGCUGGAAUAAGAGAGCUGCACACUGAAGUGGGAAAUGGCAGAUAUAGGCUGGUGGUGAGGAAAGUCCAGGACUGCCAGUGUGUGUUCAGAUACCUCAGACUUUCACAAUGGAUGCCAUAAAAUGUGGAGGAUUCUCGAAGGUGAAAGACGCUGAUGAGGAAAUUCAGACAAUCUGUGAUGAGCUUCCAUGUUAUGGAGGAGAAGCUGUAGUUACUGGUGUGGAAGACCAUCAUGACAAAGAUCCCAUCCAACCUUUUUAAUGAAUCACACUUUGUAUUUCAGCUGCUCUCUGUUAUAGGUUAUAAUCAAUAUAUUAAAAAUCUUUAUUUCUAGACUUAUAUAACUGACUUGAGUUCAUCAUUUGAAGCAUUAAAAGUUGAAUUCUGUAAAAAACUAAAUGAUUGUGAUCGUUGAUUUCUUGCUAGUUAUUAACUUUUACCAUUGCAUUUACCAUCAUUGCAGCUACUGAUGAUUUUUUGAUUUUCAUAUUUGCUUCAUCUAUAAUAACUGUAAGGUUAACAGUACUCUUGUCUGAAUUAUCUCUGUGUGUAUGUGUGUGAUGGAAGACUCUAACAGAGUCCCAAAAGUCCAACACAUGUUAUCCUGUUUUUAGAGACAUAAUUUGUGCAGCAUAUACAGAAUCUAACCAAACAUUAGAUGAUUAUUCAGGCUACUAAUCUCUCUAAUUUAUUGUGUUCUACAAUGAUGGACAUGGUCGUCCAUACAGAAGAUAAUCAGUAUUAAGAUGUCAGUCACAGCUGAAUUUCUUUUUAAUCUUGCAUUAGUCCCACUUGUCCAGCAGAUGUCCUCGUUAUGUCUCCUGCACAUCUUGAUUGUUUGUAGGUCUCAACCAUGCUUUGACCAGAUCAUUCAGCCUUCCUUCAUUUAUUUAAAUGUAUUAACUAUUUAAUCUGGUAGACCAUCUUGUAGUGGCCUUCAACACGUCUUUUUCAGAUGUUUGUCUGUACUGCUCUUUUUUUUCUUUAGCUUGUGUCACUUUGUGGCUGUAUCUUCAUUUCCCUGUUUUAAUUUUGAUGCUGUUUGCAGUCAUUAAAAUCUCCUUUUUGUUUUUUUUAAUUUUUUGCAUCUAACAUUUCCAGCUCUAAAUGUUAACUAGAAGAGAGUAAUAAUAAGGCAGAGCCCCCUGAAACUCUCUCAAAAGUAUAUGAAGAGAAGAUUCCCCCUGGUGGAAAAAAACCAAACAAAACAAAAAUGAAAAAAACCCAACAACAACUAGGGAACAGUAAAAUCUAAUAUCUACAGCCUUGAACAACAAAUAAUAGUAAGAAAAUAAUAUCUAAACCACAGAGAGGAGUAUACACUAGAGCAGGAGUGUCAAACUCCAGGCCUCGAGGGCCGGUGUCCUGCAAGUUUUAAAUAUCACCCUGGGUCAGCACACCUGAAACAAAUCAUUAGUUCAGUACCAGGCUACUGGAGAACUUCAAGACAUAUUGAGGAGGUAAUUUAGCCAUUUAAACCAGCUCUGAUGGAUCAAGGACACAUCUAAAACCUGCAGGACACCGGCCCUCGAGGCCUGGAGUUCGACACCUGUGCACUAAAUGUAGGUGGAUCGAUACCAACUCUAGUAUUGGUAUCUGAUCGAUGCUAGCUCGUUAGGAUCGAUACUUUGUUUCUAUCCCCUUAAGUUUAGUAGGUAUAAUUGUAUUAAAUAAAUAAAGUUUUGGGAAAUUUGGAUUUCAAUCACAGCUCACACCCUGUAUUUUCACUUCCCGGCAGACUCGAGAGUAUUUUGUCACACGCUCCGACAAACCCACACAUGCGGUAAAAAUGUGGGCAAAAGUGAUUAUUUUCUUGUGCUAGUCUAAGUGUGCUUGUUUUUUUUGUUUUUUUUACCAUCCCCCUUCUUCUUGAGCUGAUGGUACGGUCCAAAAUGUGGUCAUAUGACUCGCUGUUGUGUUAUUUGUUUUUUUACAUGAUCGUUUACAAAUACCGUACGAACAAAUACCCCUCUUCCCCUGCGCUGGUCUACAAUGCAGAGUCUUGUGAAUUGAUGUGUGUUUAUUAGCUUUUUGGUCGUUUUUUACCAACAAAAUGUUG